ACAAUGGAGAGUUUGAUCCUGGCUCAGGAUGAACGCUAGCGGCAGGCUUAACACAUGCAAGUCGAGGGGUAACAGGGAAAAGCUUGCUUUUCCGCUGACGACCGGCGCACGGGUGCGUAACACGUAUGCAACCUACCUCUUACUGAAGGAUAGCCCAGAGAAAUUUGGAUUAAUACUUCAUAACACCACAAGAUCGCAUGAUCUAAUGGUUAAAGGUUACGGUAAGAGAUGGGCAUGCGUCCUAUUAGUUUGUUGGUGAGGUAAUGGCUCACCAAGACUACGAUGGGUAGGGGGUCUGAGAGGAUUAUCCCCCACACUGGUACUGAGACACGGACCAGACUCCUACGGGAGGCAGCAGUG
This 360-nucleotide ribosomal RNA is filed under the name Flavobacteriales bacterium. RNAcentral's name for it is "bacterial SSU rRNA". It matches the Rfam family "Bacterial small subunit ribosomal RNA", at positions 1 to 356 of the family's 1533-position model. The record is from RNAcentral. Lineage: Bacteria; Pseudomonadati; Bacteroidota; Flavobacteriia; Flavobacteriales.